UGCAUCGGCCUCGGCAGCUCCUCCUCCCCUGCAGCCCAGCGCCCCGCUCCGGCAGCACUGUGCAGGGGCAGGGACCGGGUUGUGUGUUGCGCUGGGGAGUGCACCCACGUGUCUGGCUCCGCACAGAGCCCAACACCAUGUUCUGACCCGCGGGAGAUCUUGUCCAGGUUCCGGCUGCAGAUUUAAAGAGACAGUGCACAGACGCCACAUCCUCCCCACCUGCCCUGUGUUAAAAAGAACAUAAGCAUGGCCAGACUGGGUCAGACCAAUGUUCCAUCUAGCCCAGUAUCCUGUCUUCCAACAGUGGUCAAUGCCAGGCAUUUCAGAGGGAAUGAACAGAACAGGGCAAUUAUCAAGUGAUCCAUCUCCUGUCACCCAUUCCCAGCUUCUGGCAAACAGAGGCUAGGGACACUUCAGAGCACCCAGUUUGGCCCAUCCUUUCUCCUUGGGAUGGGUUUUGCCAAGAUGAUUCAUUUGAGAGCCAGGGAUGAUAGUGAAGUUGUCAGCGGUGAUAGACAAAGGGGAAUGCAGAUGUGGAUCCAUGUCCAUAUCAUGAUCAGUGGAACUGGAGUCAGAGCGCCCAUGUUCCCUGGAGGGACUGAUAUUGACGGGACACCAGGAGAACAGGCAGUGUGGGGAGCCGGGCUGGAAGCAACAAGGUCAGGACAGAGCAGUGCACAGAGUUUAAUAAAGUUCCACUUGUUCAGCUUAUCCGCCUCCAGCCUCACUCUUUGCAAAUGAAACGUGGUGGCAGCACAGGAGUGGUGAGUUCUCCGCAGUGCAGCAGCUGGUGGCGUGUGCCGUGGCACAUGGUAUGAUGACCCCUGAAGCCUUGGAUUUUGCAGACACAAACCUAGCCCAGCGAUGGAUCCUGCACUCACUCUGAAGCUCACCAUGGCCUCACAGGAGUCCUAGGAGCCCUGGGGACCUAUUGCUCCUCAAAACAGAAUGAGGGAGGACUGGUUUGUCACUAGAGACCCAUCCUAAGGGAAGGGGAUGGCCCCCUAUGCUACUGCCUUACGCACACUGGCUGCCACAUGCGAUUCUGGGGACUUGUCAGACUCCCUGAUUCAGGACAGGACAGUCUGCGGCACUUGGGAUCCCGCCUGCGGAAGCGGCUGCUCCAGGAAUGCGAUCUCAGACUAGACAGAUGCUUACCCAUGGGAUGUGCAGUGGAAGCUGCAAGAGAAAGUAUGACAGCCCUAGGAGGCACAACAGCCCCAGAAGUAUGUACAGUGAGACAAGAGCAAAGGCGAACAGGUGGCCAGGGCUUCAUACUCAUUGUGAGAUGCACUUACCGAGGGAGACGGCAUGAGCAGGUAGAGUCUCUGCACUGGACAGCAUUGCAAGGAACGUGGCAAGUUGAGCCAUUUUAGCAGCAUGUGCCAGAGCAGAGGAAGGAUCCAGAAAGAUUCAGCCAGACUUGUACAAAAGGGGGAGGGCACACUGGACAGCGGUGGUGACAUGAUGACUCUCUCCUGGAGUCCAAAAACAUUUCAGGCUCAGACUGAGAUGACAUACAUUGGACACCUGCUCACAGCAGAGGGACUGAAAGCAGGUCCCAACAAGAGCAAGGCAGUCAGACCUGCCAGCUCCAGAAGAUGUGAAAGAGGAACGGUGCCUAAUAGGAAUGAUAAAUGUUCUGUCUACACCGGGCUGCAGUAAUGGAACCCAUUCGUCAAUUCACAUGGCAGGAUGUUGAGUGGGACCGGGCAGAUCCCCAACAGCAGACAUUUAACACACUGAAACAAAUGAUAACGGUUGCCCCAUCCUGAAAUAUUACCAGGCAGGAGAGUGACACUCCAGCGUGUUGCAUCAGAGAAAGGAUUGGGUGCAGGAGCAGCUGGUCACUUACGCCAGCAGAGACCUGUCAGAGACUGAACAGGGAUCCACCCAAAUAGAAAAAAAAUACUUCUGGGUGUGGUGUUUGGAGUGGAAUGAUUCCAUCGGGACAGCUGGGGCCACCCAGCAAUAGGGCAAUCUGACCACAGACCCAUAGAGACAAUCAUGGCAAAGCCACCUCUUAGUGCUCCAAAGAGAUUGCAACCCAUGUUGAUGUGCCUUCAGUGCUACCAGCUAGAGACCAGUCACUGUCAAGGACUAUUACUGGUGUGAGCUAGCACACUGAGCAGGACAUAUAUACCCAGCAUCAGCAAGCUGGGGGAAGGGGCUCAAGGCACACUGCAGCAUGUUAAUGGAUUCAGUGUCCUAGUUUCAACAGCAAAGCAGAUGGAAAUCAAAGAGGUGAUGGAAAAGGACAUCUAGUCAAGAGAGCAAUACUAGCAGGGUGGCCAGGAGAGAAAAGCCAUAUAUUGGUAGAAGCAGAAACAUAAACAUGCAACUCUGCUGCUUGGUGGAAGGAUGGGACACCUGCCUGUCGUGUGAUAACCACCAGCAGAAAGAGACUGUUACCAUGUGAGCUGCCCACCCAACCAUGGGAAAAGAUUGGAGCAGGUGUAUUUACCUUCAAGGAAAAGCAGCACAGUGGACUAUUAUUCACCACUCAAUGCCUUGCCUGAUACCAGAAGCAAGUCAGUCAUUGGCGAACUGAACGCCUGUUUGCGAGAUGUAGCAUUCCGGAUGUGACGUUGCACCCCAUAAUGCUUUAUAGGAAUAUGCUUAUGAGUGUAAUUAUGACAUAAAUGGAAUAUGUUUUAUGCUAGAUAUGCCAUGUAGCAUAUCUUUGCAAAGGUUAUGAUCUCCUGAAUAUAUUCAUCCUAUUUGUAUGCAUGUAACAUCUUUAUAUCUGAAGUUAUGAGCGUUGGGUCUAUGCUUGUAAUUAAAAUGUUUGCUGUAGGAAGCACAUAAAACAGAUUUGGUCAACAUAGUGUGAAGGGGUUAUUCAAGUAAUUCAACUUAACUAACAAUGGACUUUGGGAGACACCAAUCCACAUCUGAGCUUUCUUGGGACCGUUCACAUUAACAUAUAAACAAUGGUGUCGGCCUGCAAAAAGCUGAAUAAUUCAUAGACAUGUGACUUGCCCAGGUGGCUAGAGACCCCAUCUUGUGGCUGUGAUGUGGCACAACAGAGAGAAUAUAAGAGGCCCUGGAAACCCCUCCAUUUUGUCUUCAGCUGGCUCAGAGGAUAGCCUCUCCAUCCCAAAGGGAUGCCUGAAAGAAACGGGAACAAAAGACAGUAAUUAUAGGAGUGUGAGUGAUUGCUGGACCCAGACUAGGAAGGAGUCUAGUCUGUGAAACAAGCUUAUUGGAACAUCUCUGAGGGUGAGAUUUACCUGCAUUUAGUUUCCUACUGUAUUAGGCUUAGACUUGCGUGGUUUUUUUUUUAUUUUGCUUGGUAAUUUACUUUGUUCUGUCUGUUAUUACUUGGAACCACUUAAAUCCUACUUUUUAUAUUUAAUAAAAUCACUUUUUGCUUA
This is a long non-coding RNA of Malaclemys terrapin pileata, 3377 nucleotides long. RefSeq lists it as uncharacterized. The transcript is spliced from 2 exons. The record is from RefSeq and is a predicted model, not a curated record. Lineage: Eukaryota; Metazoa; Chordata; Testudines; Emydidae.